ACGUAUAACUUCUAUGUUUUUUGGGUCACACAUAAAGCUUUCCCUAUCCAUUUUCACUUGGUUUGUUGAAUUAAUAGAAUAAAUCCUUUGUGUUAUUAUAAUAAACUUCAUACACGGGCAAUUAAAUCUUCCUUUGUUGGAAACUGACUUCCAUGUUACUAUGGUUUUCUUAGUUUUCUUAUCAUUGUUGUCUCAUUAUGCAUUUUCCUUUGAUUGCAAGAGGAACUUGUCGAUAUCAGUAAGCAUUGGGAUGACUUGGAGGAAGAAGAGGAGGAACAUAUGGAAGAAGAGGAAUUGGAGGCCACUAUCCAAUCAGAUGCCGGGCUCUCUCUCUCUCUCUCUCACUGCUGUAUUAAUAAAUUGAGUUUUUUAAGUUCCCCACAGUACACCAACUGGUGUGAAGGCACCUGACGUCAUUGAUCUUCGAAAGCAAUAAAGGAAAGAGCCAGGGAAGCCUCUUUACCAAGUACUCGAGGAGAAGGAAGAAAGGAUUGCACCAGAAACCUUACUCAGAACAACGCACAUGAAUGUGCUUGGGGCAAUGGAUUAAACUGGUCCUAAAAGGGUUGAGCUACUAUUAGGACAAAGUGAAUUAAAGGCUUUGGAUGAUGUUACUUUCGCAGCAAAGUAAGCAAGGGAAGAAGAGAAGUCAUGAAAUCAACGCGAAGAACUUCAGUGACCUGGUGGCAGAGGCUAAGAAAAAGAGGAAGCGCAAGAUGUAGGAAAAAGGAAGGGAAGGCAAAGAAGGAUUUCAAGUUUUAAACACAAAGCUAUACAUCAAAUUCGCAUAGCAUGAAUGCUCCCCCUCGCUCAUUGGAUAUAUUCUGUUUGGUGAAUAUAUUGUGAACUAUGAAAUUCAAAGGAUCUGACACAUUGAAAGUUCUUAUUGACAUGUAAAAUGUGAAGUUCUUUGGUCAAUCUUGGGCCAUCUUGGUUCGAUUAAUGAAUGGACAGGGCAGGUAGUUGUACUACUGAGGUAGGAGUGAUGUUUAAAAGGAAUUUGAUUAGUGAAUCCAUUUUGAGAUCAUCGAUGAAUCUUAACUGCGCCUGAACUUGGUGGAAAGUUAGAAGUGGUUUUAUUUUCUUUAGGGAAGCCAGGACCUAUAUAAAGCAUGAAUUUCUCAA
This is a non-coding RNA of Amborella trichopoda, 1125 nucleotides long. Lineage: Eukaryota; Viridiplantae; Streptophyta; Magnoliopsida; Amborellales; Amborellaceae. The record is from RefSeq and is a predicted model, not a curated record.